Molecule: transfer RNA, 62 nt
Filed under: Pseudorhaetus sinicus
Lineage: Eukaryota; Metazoa; Arthropoda; Insecta; Coleoptera; Lucanidae
Description: tRNA-His
Source: RNAcentral
ACCUAGGUAGUUUAAUAAAAAUGUUGAUUUGUGGAGUCAAAGAUGUAGGUGUACCUUAGGUA